Rhopalosiphum padi (bird cherry-oat aphid) is the source of this 293-nucleotide long non-coding RNA. RefSeq lists it as uncharacterized. The transcript has 3 exons. Lineage: Eukaryota; Metazoa; Arthropoda; Insecta; Hemiptera; Aphididae. The record is from RefSeq and is a predicted model, not a curated record.
GUUUGGAUGGGAGGCAAAUCGCGCGUGAGUCGGAAGCAGUAGAAUACUUUAAAUAUCACGACAGACUUAUUAAAAAUGAAAUGAAUCAAAAAAAAUACUGGAUACCAACAACAUGGUGCAAACAAUAUUGUAAUUCUCUUGAAUUAGAUUCAAAUCAGCAUACCACCACCGUCGUAUCAAAAUCAUCAAAAGAUCCUAAUUAGUUGUACUGCAUAUUAUUAAAUUAAUUACCUUUCAUUAUAUUUUAACAUAAAUAAUAAUAAAAAAAACCGACGAAAUCAUUUCUAUUGAAU